ACGCAUUCCUGGCAGGAGAGAUCCCAUGAUCUUGCAGGUGGUUUUCCCGGGGCUAGGCUUAUCCACUGUACUCCAGAUGUGCUGACACCUGUGAUUUUCCCAAAUGUGGAAAACGACUGCAUAAUUUGUGAUAGUGGGGGACUGUAUUCAUGUUCUGUCCUGGU
Molecule: small nuclear RNA, 164 nt
Organism: Callithrix jacchus (white-tufted-ear marmoset)
Lineage: Eukaryota; Metazoa; Chordata; Mammalia; Primates; Cebidae
Gene: U1
Rfam family: U1 spliceosomal RNA
About the family: U1 is a small nuclear RNA (snRNA) component of the spliceosome (involved in pre-mRNA splicing). Its 5' end forms complementary base pairs with the 5' splice junction, thus defining the 5' donor site of an intron. There are significant differences in sequence and secondary structure between metazoan and yeast U1 snRNAs, the latter being much longer (568 nucleotides as compared to 164 nucleotides in human).
Source: Ensembl